UAUCCACGCUGCUAUUUAAAGAACUCAAUCGAUUCGGUACGUUAUACAUAACUUCCACGUUGGACAUUUUGUAAUUUGGGUUGAACAAUGACGAUGUGUAAGAUACACGUUAACCUAGAAGGAAAUCAUCACUGAUAUAUGAAGAAGUAAAGUCAACAAUGACAGACAAAAAAUUGUGUUCUGGAUGUUUACGAGAUGACGAAAAAAUCGAGGCUGAAGCAUGGUGUAAUGACUGCCUAGAAGAAGUUUGUAAGACAUGCGCAAAGGUACACAGAAAAUUUAAU
Long non-coding RNA from Mytilus trossulus (common blue mussel), 284 nucleotides. RefSeq lists it as uncharacterized. The transcript is spliced from 3 exons. Lineage: Eukaryota; Metazoa; Mollusca; Bivalvia; Mytilida; Mytilidae. The record is from RefSeq and is a predicted model, not a curated record.